RNAcentral lists this ribosomal RNA (495 nucleotides) under uncultured bacterium. RNAcentral describes it as "partial 16S ribosomal RNA". It matches the Rfam family "Bacterial small subunit ribosomal RNA", at positions 30 to 507 of the family's 1533-position model. The record is from RNAcentral.
UGAACGCUGGCGGCGUGCCUAAUACAUGCAAGUCGAGCGAACGGACGCGAAGCUUGCUUUUCUGAUGUUAGCGGCGGACGGGUGAGUAACACGUGGAUAACCUACCUAUAAGACUGGGAUAACUUCGGGAAACCGGAGCUAAUACCGGAUAAUAUUUUGAACCGCAUGGUUCAAAAGUGAAAGACGGUCUUGCUGUCACUUAUAGAUGGAUCCGCGCUGCAUUAGCUAGUUGGUAAGGUAACGGCUUACCAAGGCAACGAUGCAUAGCCGACCUGAGAGGGUGAUCGGCCACACUGGAACUGAGACACGGUCCAGACUCCUACGGGAGGCAGCAGUAGGGAAUCUUCCGCAAAGGGCGAAAGCCUGACGGAGCAACGCCGCGUGAGUGAUGAAGGUCUUCGGAUCGUAAAACUCUGUUAUUAGGGAAGAACAUAUGUGUAAGUAACUGUGCACAUCUUGACGGUACCUAAUCAGAAAGCCACGGCUAACUACGUG